GGAGAGGUGGCUGAGCGGUUGAAAGCGCCCGCCUCGAAAGCGGGUUAGGGUUAACGCCCUACGCGGGUUCGAAUCCCGCCCUCUCCGCCA
Molecule: transfer RNA, 90 nt
Filed under: Bacillota bacterium
Lineage: Bacteria; Bacillati; Bacillota
Description: Firmicutes bacterium (anaerobic digester metagenome) tRNA-Ser
Rfam family: tRNA
About the family: Transfer RNA (tRNA) molecules are approximately 80 nucleotides in length.
Source: RNAcentral